CCUACGGGGGGCAGCAGUGAGGAAUAUUGGUCAAUGGGCGGGAGCCUGAACCAGCCAAGCCGCGUGAGGGAAGAAGGUACAGCGUAUUGUAAACCUCUUUUGUCAGGGGACAAAGGCGGCGACGGGUGCCCGUAAGAGGGUACCUGAAGAAAAAGCAUCGGCUAACUCCGUGCCAGCAGCCGCGGUAAUACGGAGGAUGCGAGCGUUAUCCGGAUUUAUUGGGUUUAAAGGGUGCGCAGGCGGCGUGUCAAGUCAGCGGUAAAAGGCCGGGGCUCAACCCCGGCGAGCCGUUGAAACUGGCGGGCUGGAGUUGGAGAGAAGUACGCGGAAUGCGUGGUGUAGCGGUGAAAUGCUUAGAUAUCGCGCAGAACCCCGAUUGCGAAGGCAGCGUACCGGCUCCACACUGACGCUGAGGCACGAAAGCGUGGGUAUCGAACAGGAUUAGAUACCCGAGUAGUC
Molecule: ribosomal RNA, 459 nt
Filed under: uncultured bacterium
Lineage: Bacteria
Description: partial 16S ribosomal RNA
Rfam family: Bacterial small subunit ribosomal RNA
Source: RNAcentral